AGAGUUUGAUCCUGGCUCAGAUUGAACGCUGGCGGCAGGCCUAACACAUGCAAGUCGAGCGGAUGAAGAGAGCUUGCUCUCUGAUUCAGCGGCGGACGGGUGAGUAAUGCCUAGGAAUCUGCCUGGUAGUGGGGGACAACGUUUCGAAAGGAACGCUAAUACCGCAUACGUCCUACGGGAGAAAGCAGGGGACCUUCGGGCCUUGCGCUAUCAGAUGAGCCUAGGUCGGAUUAGCUAGUUGGUGAGGUAAUGGCUCACCAAGGCGACGAUCCGUAACUGGUCUGAGAGGAUGAUCAGUCACACUGGAACUGAGACACGGUCCAGACUCCUACGGGAGGCAGCAGUGGGGAAUAUUGGACAAUGGGCGAAAGCCUGAUCCAGCCAUGCCGCGUGUGUGAAGAAGGUCUUCGGAUUGUAAAGCACUUUAAGUUGGGAGGAAGGGCAUUAACCUAAUACGUUAGUGUUUUGACGUUACCGACAGAAUAAGCACCGGCUAACUCUGUGCCAGCAGCCGCGGUAAUACAGAGGGUGCAAGCGUUAUCCGGAUUCAUUGGGCGUAAAGAGCGCGUAGGCGGCUUGUUAAGUUAGGUGUGAAAUCCGGGGGCUUAACCCGCGGCUUGCAUCUAAAACUGGCAGGCUUGAGUCUGGUAGAGGAAAGUGGAAUUCCCAGUGUAGCGGUGAAAUGCGCAGAUAUUGGGAGGAACACCAGUGGCGAAGGCGGCUUUCUGGGCCACGACUGACGCUGAGGCGCGAAAGCUAGGGGAGCAAACAGGAUUAGAUACCCUGGUAGUCC
Molecule: ribosomal RNA, 793 nt
Filed under: uncultured bacterium
Lineage: Bacteria
Description: bacterial SSU rRNA
Rfam family: Bacterial small subunit ribosomal RNA
Source: RNAcentral